CUUCCAGCUGUCACUCAAGUGACUCUCCCCUCAGUCCUGCCAGCCUCGCCGCCUGCCCGCCGUGGGGCGCGCUGCUGCUCCUUCCCGCGAGGGCCUUAACCACUUUAACAAAUACAACCAGAUCUUCUACAGGACCCCAGUGCCCAUCUGGACUCUGUUCUGCUGUGGAGAUAAUGUUCUAGACAUGAGCCGCUGCUCUUCAAAUGGCAGAAAGGUGUGUGUGAAUGCUACAUCUGAACAUCUGAAACAACAAUUCCACCAGCAUUCUCUAGUUUUUCAGGGAAAUCAGCACUAUAGAGUUAUUAAUCGAGUUUAUGGAAGUGGCUAAGCAUGAUUGAAAGGAUGCUUGCAAAUUGCUGGUGGCAUUCCUGACUCCUUUUGAAAGGGUUGCUGCCACUUUACCCCACUGAGCAUUCCUCUGGUACAUGAUUCAAAGGACGCAGGAGAUCUUGGACAGAUUGCUGGCAGCAGCUCUGAGUCUCCUCAGCCAAAGCAGAAGUGUGUUAUUCCUCAUUGAGGCAGAUUGCUGUCACAUAAGAGAGCCAGAGAGACAAGAUGUGGAUGCAUGAAUGUGAAUAGUCUGAGGAACAAAACAGGCCCAGGAAGGAUGCUGGUUUACCUUCAGUCACUCAAAAACAACCAACCAUGAAUUGAGUUUGUAAGGCUGAGGUAGUCUGAACUAAACCAAGUCUUUUUCAAUGCACCUGUUUUGGCAGGUGCAAUUUUUCUUGUUGUUUGUUUUUCCAAGUGUAUUUUCUUAAUUUGGGACAUUCUGGACAUGGUCUUUUUCCAUAGGCAGUUUUUGACAUUGCAGAAAGAGGAUGCAAGGUGCUCUUGUUGGUAUCUAACAGCUGGUCCUUCACCACUCCCCAGUGUCCCUGAGUGACCUGAGUGGAGAACUGAGGCAGAAGUUGUUGUCUCUCCCUUUCUGAAUGAACAUUACAAGAAGUGAACACUUGCUUAAAGCCCAGGCCUACUUCAUCCUUCAGUCAGGAAAUUUAGUCAUGACAGUGCUGAGUGAAAUUAUAUUUUUGGAACUGCCAGAAGAGCACAGAAUUUGCAUCUCUAGGCUAUCUUGUGGCUCACAGCUAUACAAAAUUUCUGACAUGGUGAGAGCACAAACUUAAAUCAGCCCACACAUUGUGUACAGGUAUACUCUAGGUGCAUCCUGUGUAUUGUUGUAGUAAUUGAAUACACCUUAGUUUAUCUUCUAUUUGUGACUACAUGGUCAUUAUUCCUCCUGAAAACUGGAAUAAUACCACUAUUUGAUCCCCCAAGACUGUUACCAUGCCAGAAAAUUCCUUGCAAAUACACAUUUUAACAGAUCUCAUUCUUAGUCAAUGGCAAAAUGGCAGCUACAGUUUUAUCCAAAAUUAAAGUGCUUAAUUCUUCCCUCCUUUUUGGAAGACCUUAUGCAUACUUGGAGGCUGUCAGUUUCCUGGGCAAUGUGUAGAUGUUCCAUACUGAUGAGAAAAGUUCAUGCUUGUUUUAGGUCACUUUUUUUCCCCUACGUGCUGUUUAAUGUUAAUGAUGUAAGUUGCUGUAUCAAAAUAUUAAAUAAUUGUAACCUGUAGAGGAAAGGAGUUUUAUUUUAACCUUAGAAAACUGUAUUUACAUGUUUUAGUACAUAUGAAUAAUGCAUCAAGUUAGGCACUAAGGUUAUUUUCAAAGUCAGACAUUUCAGGAUCAAGCUGUAGAAAACAAUAAAAGGGAGGAGUGGUUUCUUUCCUCUUGCUCUCCCUUUUUCUUUAAUUCACCAGGAUUCAGGCAUUAGCAUUGAAGUCAAAUGCCAUUAGGAUUUCUCACUAAACUUCAAAGCUUAAUUUCUUAGUCUCUGCUGGAAUAAAGAGAGGCAUAUAAACAGGCACAGUGGAAUCCAUUUAAAUGAGUUACUGUGAAAAAAAAGAAUGUUUCUAAGAAACAAAUGAUCUGUACAUUCUUUUAACAGAAAUCCUCCACGAGAGCCGUGGCUCAGGUGCAGCUGUGCCCCAUCCCCCGGGGAGGUGGGUGCUGUCCCAGCUCUGCCCUCGCUGCUGCAGGGUGGGGUCCUGGCCCUGUGCACCCCAAGGCAGUGCAGAGGCUCCAGGGUACUCCAGGCAGGGACAGACCUCCUGAUCCCUGUCUGGGGGAUGUGGGACCAACUGCCCAUGCAUGUGUUUUCCAGAACAUCAUUGUAAUAGGGUAAGUCAGCAUGGAAGAUUUGCUUUCUUUUCCAGCAUAUUUGAUGUUUCAUGAAGGAUGCAGUUGUACUGCAGACUGCUCCUUUAUAACCUCUCUCGUCAAAGAAAUGUUCUUGUCAUUAGCAAGGUGUUGCCUCUAAAUCA
This is a non-coding RNA of Cyanistes caeruleus (blue tit), 2324 nucleotides long. Lineage: Eukaryota; Metazoa; Chordata; Aves; Passeriformes; Paridae. The record is from RefSeq and is a predicted model, not a curated record.